CAUAAUUAAUAACAUCUAGUAUUUACAUAGUUGGUGUUCAAUUAACUUUACAAAGAGUUAAUUUUAUCUUCAAAACAACUUGGGGGGGUAGAUGCUGUUAAAAGAGGUCAUAAGGAAGAUGAAAUCUUUGCUCCAAGCUUGGUGCUGUAUCCAUUGUGUCACCUAGCUACACCUAGUUUACAGAUGAUGAAACAGAGGUAAACAGGGGUUACAUGAUUUGACCAGAGACCCAGAGCUAGUAAAUGUUGGAGCCCAGAUUUGAACUAGUAAAUUGCCUUUCUGUGUCAUCCUAGCUAUUAGACUUAUGGUGAGGAUAUGAGAUUUAGAGGUAGAAAAAGCUUAGAUACCAGUAAAUCGAAUCAUCUUAUUUUAAUGAAUAUGGACAUUGAGCUACAUAAAGAGUUUAUGUGACCUGCCUAAGAUUUUCCAGCUAGUAUGGAUUAGAGGUCUUUCUGAUUUCAAAUAUAUUGUCUUUCACCAUAUUGCAAAGAAGCUCAGGGAAGAUGUCUUCUAAGUCAGAAGAAAGCCUGGGAUGGAAGUUCCUCUUUUGUUUGUUCUCUCUGCCAUCUGAAAGAUGCUAUUUCUAGGAAGAUGAAGAAACUGAAAGCCAAAUGUUUAAAAUGUUUGAUAGCAGUGCUAUGAGAAAUGCAAGGAUUGAGGAAUAUACGAAACUCUCCAAAAGAAGUGUCUGGGGAUGCUGGUUCCUGGAACUCGGAGGUGAAAAUUUGGCUGGGACUGAAAGGAAGCAAGGGAAAACAGAAGACAGAGAAGAGGAAGGAGAGUAUUCCAGGCAUAGGAAACAGCCAGUGAAAAUACCCAGUGAGUAUUUGGAGUGUGUUGUGGGAGGAAUGACAAGGAGAACAAUGUCACUGGAUUGUACACUAUAUGGUGGUAAAUAAAGUAUAAGAAGUC
RNAcentral lists this long non-coding RNA (912 nucleotides) under Monodelphis domestica (gray short-tailed opossum). RNAcentral's name for it is "lncRNA (ENSMODG00000049169.1)". Lineage: Eukaryota; Metazoa; Chordata; Mammalia; Didelphimorphia; Didelphidae. The record is from RNAcentral.